This 110-nucleotide ribosomal RNA is filed under the name Staphylococcus aureus. Its description in RNAcentral is "partial 16S ribosomal RNA". It matches the Rfam family "Bacterial small subunit ribosomal RNA", at positions 1 to 104 of the family's 1533-position model. Lineage: Bacteria; Bacillati; Bacillota; Bacilli; Caryophanales; Staphylococcaceae. The record is from RNAcentral.
UUUUAUGGAGAGUUUGAUCCUGGCUCAGGAUGAACGCUGGCGGCGUGCCUAAUACAUGCAAGUCGAGCGAACGGACGAGAAGCUUGCUUCUCUGAUGUUAGCGGCGGACG